GCAGUCGAGCGGUAGCACAGAGAGCUUGCUCUCGGGUGACGAGCGGCGGACGGGUGAGUAAUGUCUGGGAAACUGCCUGAUGGAGGGGGAUAACUACUGGAAACGGUAGCUAAUACCGCAUAACGUCGCAAGACCAAAGUGGGGGACCUUCGGGCCUCAUGCCAUCAGAUGUGCCCAGAUGGGAUUAGCUAGUAGGUGGGGUAACGGCUCACCUAGGCGACGAUCCCUAGCUGGUCUGAGAGGAUGACCAGCCACACUGGAACUGAGACACGGUCCAGACUCCUACGGGAGGCAGCAGUGGGGAAUAUUGCACAAUGGGCGCAAGCCUGAUGCAGCCAUGCCGCGUGUGUGAAGAAGGCCUUCGGGUUGUAAAGCACUUUCAGCGGGGAGGAAGGCGAUAAGGUUAAUAACCUUGUCGAUUGACGUUACCCGCAGAAGAAGCACCGGCUAACUCCGUGCCAGCAGCCGCGGUAAUACGGAGGGUGCAAGCGUUAAUCGGAAUUACUGGGCGUAAAGCGCACGCAGGCGGUCUGUCAAGUCGGAUGUGAAAUCCCCGGGCUCAACCUGGGAACUGCAUUCGAAACUGGCAGGCUAGAGUCUUGUAGAGGGGGGUAGAAUUCCAGGUGUAGCGGUGAAAUGCGUAGAGAUCUGGAGGAAUACCGGUGGCGAAGGCGGCCCCCUGGACAAAGACUGACGCUCAGGUGCGAAAGCGUGGGGAGCAAACAGGAUUAGAUACCCUGGUAGUCCACGCCGUAAACGAUGUCGAUUUGGAGGUUGUGCCCUUGAGGCGUGGCUUCCGGAGCUAACGCGUUAAAUCGACCGCCUGGGGAGUACGGCCGCAAGGUUAAAACUCAAAUGAAUUGACGGGGGCCCGCACAAGCGGUGGAGCAUGUGGUUUAAUUCGAUGCAACGCGAAGAACCUUACCUGGUCUUGACAUCCACAGAACUUUCCAGAGAUGGAUUGGUGCCUUCGGGAACUGUGAGACAGGUGCUGCAUGGCUGUCGUCAGCUCGUGUUGUGAAAUGUUGGGUUAAGUCCCGCAACGAGCGCAACCCUUAUCCUUUGUUGCCAGCGGUUAGGCCGGGAACUCAAAGGAGACUGCCAGUGAUAAACUGGAGGAAGGUGGGGAUGACGUCAAGUCAUCAUGGCCCUUACGACCAGGGCUACACACGUGCUACAAUGGCAUAUACAAAGAGAAGCGACCUCGCGAGAGCAAGCGGACCUCAUAAAGUAUGUCGUAGUCCGGAUUGGAGUCUGCAACUCGACUCCAUGAAGUCGGAAUCGCUAGUAAUCGUAGAUCAGAAUGCUACGGUGAAUACGUUCCCGGGCCUUGUACACACCGCCCGUCACACCAUGGGAGUGGGUUGCAAAAGAAGUAGGUAGCUUAACCUUCGGGAGGGCGCU
RNAcentral lists this ribosomal RNA (1404 nucleotides) under Klebsiella pneumoniae. RNAcentral's name for it is "bacterial SSU rRNA". It matches the Rfam family "Bacterial small subunit ribosomal RNA". The record is from RNAcentral. Lineage: Bacteria; Pseudomonadati; Pseudomonadota; Gammaproteobacteria; Enterobacterales; Enterobacteriaceae.